UUUUUUUGAAAAAUUGAACUUUUUACGUGGUAAUGACGUGGCUCCGAAGUGUCAUUAACGUGGCAUUGAUGUGUAGGCGGGUGUAAUGCACUCUCCGUUGUGAGAGUGAUAUUCAGUUUUGAGGGGCGAAAAUAAUAUACUUUAAAGGUGUUAAGGGGGUAAAUAAACAGAAGUUAAGUUUAAGUGUUAAAGUGAGUUUG
RNAcentral lists this long non-coding RNA (200 nucleotides) under Capsicum annuum. Its description in RNAcentral is "long non-coding RNA (CANN_LNC017778)". The record is from RNAcentral. Lineage: Eukaryota; Viridiplantae; Streptophyta; Magnoliopsida; Solanales; Solanaceae.